GCGAAGAACCUUACCAGGUCUUGACAUCCUUUGACAACCCUAGAGAUAGGGCUUUCCCUUCGGGGACAGAGUGACAGGUGGUGCAUGGUUGUUGUCAGCUCGUGUCGUGAGAUGUUGGGUUAAGUCCCGCAACGAGCGCAACCCUUGAUUUUAGUUGCCAGCAUUCAGUUGGGCACUUUAAGGGGACUGCCGGUGACAAACCGGAGGAAGGUGGGGAUGACGUCAAAUCAUCAUGCCCCUUAUGACCUGGGGUACACACGUGGUACAAUGGACAGAACAAAGGGGUGCAAGACCGCAAGGUUUAGCCAAUCCCACAAAUCUGUUCUCAGUUCGGAUCGCAGUCUGCAACUCGACUGCGUGAAG
Molecule: ribosomal RNA, 363 nt
Filed under: Bacillus pumilus
Lineage: Bacteria; Bacillati; Bacillota; Bacilli; Caryophanales; Bacillaceae
Description: bacterial SSU rRNA
Rfam family: Bacterial small subunit ribosomal RNA
Source: RNAcentral